RNAcentral lists this non-coding RNA (77 nucleotides) under Antrostomus carolinensis (chuck-will's-widow). Lineage: Eukaryota; Metazoa; Chordata; Aves; Caprimulgiformes; Caprimulgidae. The record is from RNAcentral.
AUUGGCUGUUAUUAGCAGCUGAUGAGCUCCAAAACCAGCGAAACCACUUAGGUCCUGUAGUACUGGCCUAUAAAUGG